CCAGACUCCUACGGGAGGCAGCAGUGAGGAAUAUUGGUCAAUGGGCGGGAGCCUGAACCAGCCAAGUCGCGUGAGGGACGACGGUCCUAUGGAUUGUAAACCUCUUUUGUCAGGGAGCAAUGGCGUCCACGUGUGGGCGUAUGGAGAGUACCUGAAGAAAAAGCAUCGGCUAACUCCGUGCCAGCAGCCGCGGUAAUACGGAGGAUGCGAGCGUUAUCCGGAUUUAUUGGGUUUAAAGGGUGCGUAGGCGGGACCUUAAGUCAGCGGUAAAAUUGCGGUGCUCAACGCCGUAGAGCCGUUGAAACUGGGGUUCUUGAGUGAGCGAGAAGUAUGCGGAAUGCGUGGUGUAGCGGUGAAAUGCAUAGAUAUCACGCAGAACUCCGAUUGCGAAGGCAGCAUGCCGGCUCCACACUGACGCUGAGGCACGAAAGCGUGGGUAUCGAACAGGAUUAGAUACCCGUGUAA
RNAcentral lists this ribosomal RNA (465 nucleotides) under uncultured bacterium. RNAcentral's name for it is "bacterial SSU rRNA". It matches the Rfam family "Bacterial small subunit ribosomal RNA", at positions 331 to 793 of the family's 1533-position model. The record is from RNAcentral.